This 165-nucleotide long non-coding RNA is filed under the name Microtus ochrogaster (prairie vole). Its description in RNAcentral is "LincRNA-p21 conserved region 1 (ENSMOCG00000006263.1)". It matches the Rfam family "LincRNA-p21 conserved region 1". Rfam says of the family: LincRNA-p21 is an large intergenic non-coding RNA. Lineage: Eukaryota; Metazoa; Chordata; Mammalia; Rodentia; Cricetidae. The record is from RNAcentral.
AACUUAAGCAAACCUGCAGACUGGUUAAACAAACACACCACACACUCUCCCUGACCCCGGGGAGGUCCCAGUAGGAGACAUUAUGUGAUUUUUUUUUUUCCACACUCAGAAAGUGAGCGCCAAUGCUAUGCUGUGAAGUCACAGGAACUGGGUGGAAAGGUUGAA